UUCGUAGGGACCGAGCGUUGUCCGGAAUCAUUGGGCGUAAAGAGCGUGUAGGCGGCCACUUAAGUCCUGCGUGAAAUCUUGCGGCUCAACCGCAAGCGGUCGUGGGAAACUGGGUGGCUAGAGUGCGGGAGAGGAGAGUGGAAUUCCCGGUGUAGCGGUGAAAUGCGCAGAUAUCGGGAAGAACACCCGUGGCGAAGGCGGCUCUCUGGGACGGUACUGACGCUGAGACGCGAAAGCGUGGGGAGCGAACAGG
This 253-nucleotide ribosomal RNA is filed under the name uncultured bacterium. RNAcentral's name for it is "partial 16S ribosomal RNA". It matches the Rfam family "Bacterial small subunit ribosomal RNA", at positions 524 to 776 of the family's 1533-position model. The record is from RNAcentral.